GACGAACGCUGGCGGCGUGCUUAACACAUGCAAGUCGAACGGAAAGGCCCUGCUUUUGUGGGGUGCUCGAGUGGCGAACGGGUGAGUAACACGUGAGUAACCUGCCCUUGACUUUGGGAUAACUUCAGGAAACUGGGGCUAAUACCGGAUAGGAUCUCCUGCUGCAUGGUGGGGGGUGGAAAGUUUCGGCGGUUGGGGAUGGACUCGCGGCUUAUCAGCUUGGUGGUGGGGUAGUGGCUUACCAAGGCUUUGACGGGUAGCCGGCCUGAGAGGGUGACCGGCCACAUUGGGACUGAGAUACGGCCCAGACUCCUACGGGAGGCAGCAGUGGGGAAUAUUGCACAAUGGGCGGAAGCCUGAUGCAGCAACGCCGCGUGCGGGAUGACGGCCUUCGGGUUGUAAACCGCUUUCGCCUGUGACGAAGCGUGAGUGACGGUAAUGGGUAAAGAAGCACCGGCUAACUACGUG
This 468-nucleotide ribosomal RNA is filed under the name uncultured bacterium. RNAcentral's name for it is "partial 16S ribosomal RNA". It matches the Rfam family "Bacterial small subunit ribosomal RNA", at positions 28 to 507 of the family's 1533-position model. The record is from RNAcentral.